ACGCUCGACACCUACGUGAGGCAGCAGUGGGGAAUAUUGCACAAUGGGGGAAACCCUGAUGCAGCGACGCCGCGUGAGCGAAGAAGUAUUUCGGUAUGUAAAGCUCUAUCAGCAGGGAAGAAACUGACGGUACCUGACUAAGAAGCACCGGCUAAAUACGUGCCANNCGCGAGUAUGNGCGGCGNGNGAGAG
Molecule: ribosomal RNA, 192 nt
Filed under: uncultured bacterium
Lineage: Bacteria
Description: partial 16S ribosomal RNA
Rfam family: Bacterial small subunit ribosomal RNA
Source: RNAcentral